This 1246-nucleotide ribosomal RNA is filed under the name metagenome. RNAcentral describes it as "bacterial LSU rRNA". It matches the Rfam family "Bacterial large subunit ribosomal RNA", at positions 1564 to 2819 of the family's 2925-position model. The record is from RNAcentral.
UGAGUACGAGAGGCUACGGCCUCGAAGCAGUCUAUGUCAUACUUCCAAGAAAAGCUUGCAAUGUCAUAAACAAAUAAUGCCUGUACCAUAACCGACACAGGUGGGUAGGUAGAGUAUACUAAGGGGCGCGAGUUAACUCUCUCUAAGGAACUCGGCAAAAUGACUCCGUAACUUCGGGAGAAGGAGUGCCUUAUUUAUAAGGUUGCAAUAACAAGAUCCAAGCAACUGUUUACCAAAAACACAGGUCUCCGCUAAGUCGUAAGACGAUGUAUGGGGGCUGACGCCUGCCCAGUGCCAGAAGGUUAAAGAAGUUGGUUAGCAUUAGCGAAGCUGAUAACUGAAGCCCUGGUGAACGGCGGCCGUAACGAUAACGGUCCUAAGGUAGCGAAAUUCCUUGUCGGGUAAGUUCCGACCCGCACGAAAGGCGUAAUGAUUUGGAUACUGUCUCGGAGAGAGGCUCGGUGAGAUAGACUUGUCUGUGAAGAUGCGGACUACCUGCACCUGGACAGAAAGACCCUAUGAAGCUUUACUGUAACUUGAAAUUGAAAUUGGACUUUAUUUGCGCAGUAUAGGUGGGAGGCGUUGAGAGUAUUCUUGCGGGAAUAUUGGAGCCAUCAGUGAGAUACCACUCUUGUAAUGUUAGAUUUCUAACUUUGGAUCAUUAUCUGGUCAAAGGACAGUUUCAGGCGGGCAGUUUGACUGGGGCGGUCGCCUCCCAAACGGUAACGGAGGCGUACAAAGGUUUCCUCUGAACGGGUAGAAAUCGUAUCUAGAGUGUAAAGGCAUAAGGAAGCUUGACUGUGAGACCUACAAGUCGAGCAGGGACGAAAGUCGGUCUUAGUGAUCUGACGGUGCUGAGUGGAAAGGCCGUCACUCAACGGAUAAAAGUUACUCUAAGGAUAACAGGCUGAUCUCCCCCAAGAGUUCACAUCGACGGGGAGGUUUGGCACCUCGAUGUCGGCUCAUCGCAUCCUGGGGCGGUAGUACGUCCCAAGGGUUGGGCUGUUCGCCCAUGAAAGCGGUACGCGAGCUGGGUUCAGAACGUCGUGAGACAGUUCGGUCCAUAUCCGGUGUAGGCGUUAGAAUAUUGAGAGGAGCCUUCUUUAGUACGAGAGGACCGAGAAGGACAUACCUCUGGUGUACCAGUUAUCGUGCCAACGGUAAACGCUGGGUAGCUAUGUAUGGAGAGGAUAACCGCUGAAAGCAUCUAAGUGGGAAGCCCACCUCAAGAUAAGCAUUCUCAUAG